Molecule: long non-coding RNA, 795 nt
Filed under: Ananas comosus (pineapple)
Lineage: Eukaryota; Viridiplantae; Streptophyta; Magnoliopsida; Poales; Bromeliaceae
Description: long non-coding RNA (ACOM_LNC002449)
Source: RNAcentral
AUAAGGUUCAUAUAUAUAUAUAUAUAUAUAUAGAGAGAGAGAGAGAGAGUUGAGCUGGAAUACUAUUAAUAGUAUUUGAAUUUUUUUGCUAUUAAUUUUUUAACCGUUAAAUCUAUAUUUUAAUCAAUUUCACUCUUUAGAUCCUAUUAUUUAACGAACCACUCAUUCAACCCUAGAGGGAUCACCACAAAACCCUAGAUGACCAUUAUCAUCCUAACUUUAUAAUUUUUUCAUCUAAGGGUCAAAUACUAUUAAUAGUAUUUCAGCCCAAUUCUCUAUAUAUGUAUUUGCAAUUUUUCGAUAUCAUUUACCUAGCAAUUAAAAGGAUUCAAAAUCAAUAAUUUUUAACGGCUGAAAAUAAAAAUUCUAUAAAACGUGGUGAUAUAGCACUAAAAUUUUCGAUCAGAAAUAUUGAUCUUGUUGUAGAUAGUAUAAAGAAUUUUGUAUCAAAAUUCCAUCUAAUUUGAAUACUUCUAUAUCGUUAAACUUGAAAACGACAAAUAUCAACCAUUAAAAAUUAUUGAUUUUGAACGCUUUCGAUCACUAGGUAAAUGAUAUCAAAAAAUCGUAAAAAUUAUUUUCUAGAAACUUCAAAUACGCUAGAUAAAGUCUAACGGAGCCGAUCGUCGAUUCGAAAAUUUCAUCAUCGAAAACGGCUCAGGAGCACGGAGGCCUCCGUGCUCCUGAGAGCACAGCAGUCCUGCUCUCUCUCUCUCUCUCUCUAUAUAUAUAUGUAAAUAAGGUGCUUAAUGAAUAUUUUAUCCAUUAAAUAUAACACAUUAUUAAUUGAAUUCA